GCUCCAGACUCCUACGGGAGGCAGCAGUAGGGAAUUUUGCGCAAUGGGGGAAACCCUGACGCAGCAACACCGCGUGAAUGUUAAGCCCUUCGGGGUGUAAAGUUCUGUCAAUAGGGACGAAUUUUGACUGUACCUAUAAAGGAAGCACCGGCUAACUCCGUGCCAGCAGCCGCGGUAAUACGGGGGGUGCAAGCGUUGUCCGGAUUUACUGGGUGUAAAGGGAGCGCAGGCGGCACGGCAAGCCUGAUGUGAAAGCCCGCGGCCCAACUGCGGGACUGCAUUGGGAACUACCGGGCUGGAGUGCCGGAGAGGUAGGCGGAAUUCCUAGUGUAGCGGUGAAAUGCGUAGAUAUUAGGAGGAACACCAGUGGCGAAGGCGGCCUACUGGACGGUGACUGACGCUGAGGCUCGAAAGCGUGGGGAGCAAACAGGAUUAGAUACCCUGGUAGUA
This 450-nucleotide ribosomal RNA is filed under the name uncultured bacterium. RNAcentral describes it as "partial 16S ribosomal RNA". It matches the Rfam family "Bacterial small subunit ribosomal RNA", at positions 328 to 795 of the family's 1533-position model. The record is from RNAcentral.